CACAGCAAGAAGGCAGCCGUCUACAUGCCAGGAAGAGAGCCCUUAACAGGAACUGACCCUGCCAGACCUUUACCUGCAGCUUCCAGCCAAAAGAACUAUCAGAUUUAUUUGGAGAAAACAGAAAUCCCACAACCCAAAGGAUGGGAUUUUACAUCAAGACAUCUCCCAGGUAAUAAGUCUACAGAUUACAAAUCAUUUUCAUAGAAGAUAUUUUUGUACAAGUUUUACAUGUAUUCAGGAGCGGGACGUUAAUCAAUCCCUGUUUCUAUUUUAAUAGGGGGGAUAAGGUAGGGGAGAGG
This 299-nucleotide long non-coding RNA is filed under the name Homo sapiens (human). RNAcentral describes it as "HSALNT0336345". The record is from RNAcentral. Lineage: Eukaryota; Metazoa; Chordata; Mammalia; Primates; Hominidae.